RNAcentral lists this ribosomal RNA (497 nucleotides) under uncultured bacterium. Its description in RNAcentral is "partial 16S ribosomal RNA". It matches the Rfam family "Bacterial small subunit ribosomal RNA", at positions 28 to 507 of the family's 1533-position model. The record is from RNAcentral.
GAUGAACGCUGGCGGCGUGCCUAAUACAUGCAAGUCGAGCGAACGGACGAGAAGAUUGCUUCUCUGAUGUUAGCGGCGGACGGGUGAGUAACACGUGGAUAACCUACCUAUAAGACUGGGAUAACUUCGGGAAACCGGAGCUAAUACCGGAUAAUAUUUUGAACCGCAUGGUUCAAAAGUGAAAGACGGUCUUGCUGUCACUUAUAGAUGGAUCCGCGCUGCAUUAGCUAGUUGGUAAGGUAACGGCUUACCAAGGCAACGAUGCAUAGCCGACCUGAGAGGAUGAUCGGCCACACUGGAACUGAGACACGGUCCAGACUCCUACGGGAGGCAGCAGUAGGGAAUCUUCCGCAAUGGGCGAAAGCCUGACGGAGCAACGCCGCGUGAGUGAUGAAGGUCUUCGGAUCGUAAAACUCUGUUAUUAGGGAAGAACAUAUGUGUAAGUAACUGUGCACAUCUUGACGGUACCUAAUCAGAAAGCCACGGCUAACUACGUG